CUUGGCUUAAAUCUCCUUGAAAACCAUGUACUAGCUUUAUUAAGAUAUGUAGAUACUCAGGAAGCCCAAGUCACACCCUUAAGGCAGUUCAGAUGGACACUACAAAUUGUGCUCAUUUAUCCGCCAGGACUGCCGAAGCACUUAGCUCCUGCUGACCAGAGGAGUAUGCCCAUUGUCUUAUCAUGUAGUUUCUGCAGGUAUACAAGUCUGUGAGUUGCUGUCCUUUCAGGACCACUGGAUUCAACCUUUCAAGAUCUCCCUGCAUCCAUCUGCCAUGCUGACUGCCCCUGAAGCUGCAGAGCAAUCCAGGAAGCAAAGUGAGCACAUUUCACCUCAACUCCUACAAAGCCAGGGCAAGGGAACACCAAGCAGCAGGACCUGGCCCAGCAGAGCCACCAAGUUACAGCCCACUGAGCUCCAAUAGCUACACAUGGAAUGGAUGGCAUCAAGUACCAGACACCAACUGCACAUCAAAAACUAGGCCUUCGUUUAGCAAGGAGAGCUAAAAAGGACCUCAAGCAACUGGAUGCACUGACCAGAGGAAAGCACAGGGUAACAAAGGAGCUACAGAGGCAAACCAAGGAAUCUCUCCAAGGAAGCCUGGAACAAAUUCAAAAGGGAGGAAAGCAAAUUAAUCAAAGACAUAACAAAGAACUAGAUUUCAU
This 665-nucleotide long non-coding RNA is filed under the name Parus major (Great Tit). RNAcentral describes it as "lncRNA (ENSPMJG00000018331.1)". The record is from RNAcentral. Lineage: Eukaryota; Metazoa; Chordata; Aves; Passeriformes; Paridae.